GUGCCAGCCGCCGCGGUAAUACGGAAGGUUCGAGCGUUAUCCGGAUUUAUUGGGUUUAAAGGGAGCGCAGGCGGAAGUGUUAAGUCAGCUGUGAAAUCCCGUCGCUCAACGGCGGAACUGCAGUUGAUACUGGCUUUCUUGAGUGCACAUAAGGAUGGUGGAAUUCGUGGUGUAGCGGUGAAAUGCUUAGAUAUCACGAAGAACUCCGAUUGCGAAGGCAGCCAUCUGGGGUGCAACUGACGCUGAGGCUCGAAAGUGCGGGUAUCAAACAGGAUUAGAUACCCUGGUAGUCCGCACAGUAAACGAUGAAUACUCGCUGUCGGCGAUACACGGUCGGCGGCCAAGCGAGAGCAUUAAGUAUUCCACCUGGGGAGUACGCCGGCAACGGUGAAACUCAAAGGAAUUGACGGGGGCCCGCACAAGCGGAGGAACAUGUGGUUUAAUUCGAUGAUACGCGAGGAACCUUACCCGGGCUUGAACUGCACCCGACGGACGGAGAGAUCCGUCUUCCGCAAGGCGGGUGUGGAGGUGCUGCAUGGUUGUCGUCAGCUCGUGCCGUGAGGUGUCGGCUUAAGUGCCAUAACGAGCGCAACCCUUCUCUUCAGUUGCCAUCAGGUAAUGCUGGGCACUCUGGAGACACUGCCAUCGUAAGAUGCGAGGAAGGUGGGGAUGACGUCAAAUCAGCACGGCCCUUACGUCCGGGGCUACACACGUGUUACAAUGGGAGGUACAGAAGGCCGCGACCCGGCGACGGGAAGCCAAUCCCCAAAUCCUCUCUCAGUUCGGACUGGAGUCUGCAACCCGACUCCACGAAGCUGGAUUCGCUAGUAAUCGCGCAUCAGCCAUGGCGCGGUGAAUACGUUCCCGGGCCUUGUACACACCGCCCGU
This 888-nucleotide ribosomal RNA is filed under the name uncultured rumen bacterium. RNAcentral describes it as "bacterial SSU rRNA". It matches the Rfam family "Bacterial small subunit ribosomal RNA", at positions 505 to 1397 of the family's 1533-position model. The record is from RNAcentral.